GACGAACGCUGGCGGCGUGCCUAAUACAUGCAAGUUGAGCGCUGAAGGUUGGUACUUGUACCAACUGGAUGAGCAGCGAACGGGUGAGUAACGCGUGGGGAAUCUGCCUUUGAGCGGGGGACAACAUUUGGAAACGAAUGCUAAUACCGCAUAAAAACUUUAAACACAAGUUUUAAGUUUGAAAGAUGCAUUUGCAUCACUCAAAGAUGAUCCCGCGUUGUAUUAGCUAGUUUGUGAGGUAAAGGCUCACCAAGGCGAUGAUACAUAGCCGACCUGAGAAGGGGAUUGGCCACAAUGGGAAUGAGACACGGCCCAAACUCCUACGGGAGGCAGCAGUAGGGAAUCUUCGGCAAUGGACGAAAGGCUGAACGAGCAACGCCGCGUGAGUGAAGAAGGGUUUCGGAUCGGAAAACUCUGUUGGUAGAGAAGAAAGUUGGUGAGAGUGGAAAGCGCAUCAAGUGACGGUAACUACCCAGAAAGGGACGGCUAACUACGUG
RNAcentral lists this ribosomal RNA (497 nucleotides) under uncultured bacterium. RNAcentral describes it as "partial 16S ribosomal RNA". It matches the Rfam family "Bacterial small subunit ribosomal RNA", at positions 28 to 507 of the family's 1533-position model. The record is from RNAcentral.